AACGAACGCUGGCGGCAUGCCUAACACAUGCAAGUCGAACGAGACCUUCGGGUCUAGGUGCGCACGGCGGCGUGCCACGGGGUAACCUGCCCUUAGGUUCGGAAUACCUCCCCGAAAGGGGAGCUAAUACCGGUUAAUGUCAUCGGAGCUAAGAUGUAUCGCCGUUGGAUGGGCCCGCGUUGGAUUAGCUAGUUGGUAGUGUAAAAGCCUACCAAGGCGACGAUGCAUGGCUGGUCUGUGAGGAUGAUCAUCCACGCUGGGACUGAGACACGGCCUAGACUGGUACGGGAGGGAGCAGUAGGGUAUAUUGGACGAUGGACGCAAGCCUGAUACAGCCGCGUGGGGUGAGAGAUGCAGGGCGUAGGGUUGCACAGCUGUUUUAGACGAGACGAGAAUGACGGUACCGGGUGAAUAAGCACCGGCUAACUCCGUG
Molecule: ribosomal RNA, 433 nt
Filed under: uncultured bacterium
Lineage: Bacteria
Description: partial 16S ribosomal RNA
Rfam family: Bacterial small subunit ribosomal RNA
Source: RNAcentral